Molecule: ribosomal RNA, 2904 nt
Filed under: Escherichia coli
Lineage: Bacteria; Pseudomonadati; Pseudomonadota; Gammaproteobacteria; Enterobacterales; Enterobacteriaceae
Description: 23S ribosomal RNA
Rfam family: Bacterial large subunit ribosomal RNA
Source: RNAcentral
UUAAGCGACUAAGCGUACACGGUGGAUGCCCUGGCAGUCAGAGGCGAUGAAGGACGUGCUAAUCUGCGAUAAGCGUCGGUAAGGUGAUAUGAACCGUUAUAACCGGCGAUUUCCGAAUGGGGAAACCCAGUGUGUUUCGACACACUAUCAUUAACUGAAUCCAUAGGUUAAUGAGGCGAACCGGGGGAACUGAAACAUCUAAGUACCCCGAGGAAAAGAAAUCAACCGAGAUUCCCCCAGUAGCGGCGAGCGAACGGGGAGCAGCCCAGAGCCUGAAUCAGUGUGUGUGUUAGUGGAAGCGUCUGGAAAGGCGCGCGAUACAGGGUGACAGCCCCGUACACAAAAAUGCACAUGCUGUGAGCUCGAUGAGUAGGGCGGGACACGUGGUAUCCUGUCUGAAUAUGGGGGGACCAUCCUCCAAGGCUAAAUACUCCUGACUGACCGAUAGUGAACCAGUACCGUGAGGGAAAGGCGAAAAGAACCCCGGCGAGGGGAGUGAAAAAGAACCUGAAACCGUGUACGUACAAGCAGUGGGAGCACGCUUCGGCGUGUGACUGCGUACCUUUUGUAUAAUGGGUCAGCGACUUAUAUUCUGUAGCAAGGUUAACCGAAUAGGGGAGCCGAAGGGAAACCGAGUCUUAACUGGGCGUUAAGUUGCAGGGUAUAGACCCGAAACCCGGUGAUCUAGCCAUGGGCAGGUUGAAGGUUGGGUAACACUAACUGGAGGACCGAACCGACUAAUGUUGAAAAAUUAGCGGAUGACUUGUGGCUGGGGGUGAAAGGCCAAUCAAACCGGGAGAUAGCUGGUUCUCCCCGAAAGCUAUUUAGGUAGCGCCUCGUGAAUUCAUCUCCGGGGGUAGAGCACUGUUUCGGCAAGGGGGUCAUCCCGACUUACCAACCCGAUGCAAACUGCGAAUACCGGAGAAUGUUAUCACGGGAGACACACGGCGGGUGCUAACGUCCGUCGUGAAGAGGGAAACAACCCAGACCGCCAGCUAAGGUCCCAAAGUCAUGGUUAAGUGGGAAACGAUGUGGGAAGGCCCAGACAGCCAGGAUGUUGGCUUAGAAGCAGCCAUCAUUUAAAGAAAGCGUAAUAGCUCACUGGUCGAGUCGGCCUGCGCGGAAGAUGUAACGGGGCUAAACCAUGCACCGAAGCUGCGGCAGCGACGCUUAUGCGUUGUUGGGUAGGGGAGCGUUCUGUAAGCCUGUGAAGGUGUGCUGUGAGGCAUGCUGGAGGUAUCAGAAGUGCGAAUGCUGACAUAAGUAACGAUAAAGCGGGUGAAAAGCCCGCUCGCCGGAAGACCAAGGGUUCCUGUCCAACGUUAAUCGGGGCAGGGUGAGUCGACCCCUAAGGCGAGGCCGAAAGGCGUAGUCGAUGGGAAACAGGUUAAUAUUCCUGUACUUGGUGUUACUGCGAAGGGGGGACGGAGAAGGCUAUGUUGGCCGGGCGACGGUUGUCCCGGUUUAAGCGUGUAGGCUGGUUUUCCAGGCAAAUCCGGAAAAUCAAGGCUGAGGCGUGAUGACGAGGCACUACGGUGCUGAAGCAACAAAUGCCCUGCUUCCAGGAAAAGCCUCUAAGCAUCAGGUAACAUCAAAUCGUACCCCAAACCGACACAGGUGGUCAGGUAGAGAAUACCAAGGCGCUUGAGAGAACUCGGGUGAAGGAACUAGGCAAAAUGGUGCCGUAACUUCGGGAGAAGGCACGCUGAUAUGUAGGUGAAGCGACUUGCUCGUGGAGCUGAAAUCAGUCGAAGAUACCAGCUGGCUGCAACUGUUUAUUAAAAACACAGCACUGUGCAAACACGAAAGUGGACGUAUACGGUGUGACGCCUGCCCGGUGCCGGAAGGUUAAUUGAUGGGGUUAGCGGUAACGCGAAGCUCUUGAUCGAAGCCCCGGUAAACGGCGGCCGUAACUAUAACGGUCCUAAGGUAGCGAAAUUCCUUGUCGGGUAAGUUCCGACCUGCACGAAUGGCGUAAUGAUGGCCAGGCUGUCUCCACCCGAGACUCAGUGAAAUUGAACUCGCUGUGAAGAUGCAGUGUACCCGCGGCAAGACGGAAAGACCCCGUGAACCUUUACUAUAGCUUGACACUGAACAUUGAGCCUUGAUGUGUAGGAUAGGUGGGAGGCUUUGAAGUGUGGACGCCAGUCUGCAUGGAGCCGACCUUGAAAUACCACCCUUUAAUGUUUGAUGUUCUAACGUGGACCCGUGAUCCGGGUUGCGGACAGUGUCUGGUGGGUAGUUUGACUGGGGCGGUCUCCUCCUAAAGAGUAACGGAGGAGCACGAAGGUUGGCUAAUCCUGGUCGGACAUCAGGAGGUUAGUGCAAUGGCAUAAGCCAGCUUGACUGCGAGCGUGACGGCGCGAGCAGGUGCGAAAGCAGGUCAUAGUGAUCCGGUGGUUCUGAAUGGAAGGGCCAUCGCUCAACGGAUAAAAGGUACUCCGGGGAUAACAGGCUGAUACCGCCCAAGAGUUCAUAUCGACGGCGGUGUUUGGCACCUCGAUGUCGGCUCAUCACAUCCUGGGGCUGAAGUAGGUCCCAAGGGUAUGGCUGUUCGCCAUUUAAAGUGGUACGCGAGCUGGGUUUAGAACGUCGUGAGACAGUUCGGUCCCUAUCUGCCGUGGGCGCUGGAGAACUGAGGGGGGCUGCUCCUAGUACGAGAGGACCGGAGUGGACGCAUCACUGGUGUUCGGGUUGUCAUGCCAAUGGCACUGCCCGGUAGCUAAAUGCGGAAGAGAUAAGUGCUGAAAGCAUCUAAGCACGAAACUUGCCCCGAGAUGAGUUCUCCCUGACUCCUUGAGAGUCCUGAAGGAACGUUGAAGACGACGACGUUGAUAGGCCGGGUGUGUAAGCGCAGCGAUGCGUUGAGCUAACCGGUACUAAUGAACCGUGAGGCUUAACCUU